UACAGAGGGGGCAAGCGUUGUUCGGAAUUACUGGGCGUAAAGGGCGCGUAGGCGGCCUUCUAAGUCGAACGUGAAAUCCCCGGGCUCAACCCGGGAACUGCGUCCGAGACUGGAAGGCUCGAAUCCGGGAGAGGGAUGUGGAAUUCCAGGUGUAGCGGUGAAAUGCGUAGAUAUCUGGAGGAACAUCGGUGGCGAAGGCGGCAUCCUGGACCGGUAUUGACGCUGAGGCGCGAAAGCGUGGGGAGCAAACAGG
Molecule: ribosomal RNA, 253 nt
Filed under: uncultured bacterium
Lineage: Bacteria
Description: partial 16S ribosomal RNA
Rfam family: Bacterial small subunit ribosomal RNA
Source: RNAcentral